Molecule: ribosomal RNA, 598 nt
Filed under: Salmonella enterica subsp. enterica serovar Montevideo
Lineage: Bacteria; Pseudomonadati; Pseudomonadota; Gammaproteobacteria; Enterobacterales; Enterobacteriaceae
Description: partial 23S ribosomal RNA
Rfam family: Bacterial large subunit ribosomal RNA
Source: RNAcentral
CUUUGGGGUGUGACUGCGUACCUUUUGUAUAAUGGGUCAGCGACUUAUAUUCUGUAGCAAGGUUAACCGUAUAGGGGAGCCGGAGGGAAACCGAGUCUUAACCGGGCGUUAAGUUGCAGGGUAUAGACCCGAAACCCGGUGAUCUAGCCAUGGGCAGGUUGAAGGUUGGGUAACACUAACUGGAGGACCGAACCGACUAAUGUUGAAAAAUUAGCGGAUGACCUGUGGCUGGGGGUGAAAGGCCAAUCAAACCGGGAGAUAGCUGGUUCUCCCCGAAAGCUAUUUAGGUAGCGCCUCGUGAAUUCAUCUCCGGGGGUAGAGCACUGUUUCGGCUAGGGGGCCAUCCCGGCUUACCAACCCGAUGCAAACUGCGAAUACCGGAGAAUGUUAUCACGGGAGACACACGGCGGGUGCUAACGUCCGUCGUGAAGAGGGAAACAACCCAGACCGCCAGCUAAGGUCCCAAAGUCAUGGUUAAGUGGGAAACGAUGUGGGAAGGCCCAGACAGCCAGGAUGUUGGCUUAGAAGCAGCCAUCAUUUAAAGAAAGCGUAAUAGCUCACUGGUCGAGUCGGCCUGCGCGGAAGAUGUAACGGGGCU